RNAcentral lists this long non-coding RNA (571 nucleotides) under Trifolium pratense (red clover). RNAcentral's name for it is "long non-coding RNA (TPRA_LNC004279)". Lineage: Eukaryota; Viridiplantae; Streptophyta; Magnoliopsida; Fabales; Fabaceae. The record is from RNAcentral.
CACUAGUAGAAAAAUGACUUUUGGCUAAGAGAUUCCACUACUGGUAUGUGAAUACCAGUAGUUAAAACCAUUUGACCAAAGGAUUCCACUACCGAUAUUUGAAUACCGGUAGUGAAAAGUUCAUAGAUAAGGGAUUUCACUACUGGUUUUCUUAAAUCAGUAGUGAAAAGUAGACACGGUGGCAAUGUUGUAAUUACGUUGAAAUUUGUUUUAAUUGUAUUUCACUACCGAUUUGGUAUUCGCCGGUAGUGGAAUGUUCAUUAAUUAAUUAAUUUGUUCAUUCCUCUUCAUUCAUCACCUUACGCGAAGCCAAUUGCAAAAACGAGAACGCGUAUAUCUUCAUUCCCAAAUCGCCAAAUCCCUAAAAAUCCCAAAGCGCCAUCUUCAUUGAAUCCAAUCAUUCCCAAUUUCUUCAAUCAUUCUCCAAUCUCUUCGUUUUCAUUCGUUUUGAUUCGGUUUCAUUCUCCAAACCCUAGACGGCCGACCCCUUUUUCAUUCGUUGUCAACGAUUUCAUCCCGUCUUCGAUUCCCUUUUGUUCGCCGUCAACGAUUCCCUUCCAUCAACCUNNNN